RNAcentral lists this microRNA precursor (115 nucleotides) under Fragaria vesca subsp. vesca. RNAcentral describes it as "Fragaria vesca miR390b stem-loop (fve-MIR390b)". Its record names the gene fve-MIR390b. It matches the Rfam family "MIR390 microRNA precursor family". Lineage: Eukaryota; Viridiplantae; Streptophyta; Magnoliopsida; Rosales; Rosaceae. The record is from miRBase by way of RNAcentral.
AGUAUGGAAGAAUCUGUAAAGCUCAGGAGGGAUAGCGCCAUUUAUGCCUUGCUUGGAUUACUUGCUUAGUCAUAUAUAGCGCUAUCCAUCCUGGGUUUCCUGGGUUCUUCUUACU